AGCGUAGAUGGAUGUUUAAGUCAGUUGUGAAAGUUUGCGGCUCAACCGUAAAAUUAGCAGUUGAUACUGGAUAUCUUGAGUGCAGUUGAGGCAGGCGGAAUUCGUGGUGUAGCGGUGAAAUGCUUAGAUAUCACGAAGAACUCCGAUUGCGAAGGCAGCCUGCUAAGCUGCAACUGACAUUGAGGCUCGAAAGUGUGGGUAUCAAACA
Molecule: ribosomal RNA, 208 nt
Filed under: uncultured bacterium
Lineage: Bacteria
Description: partial 16S ribosomal RNA
Rfam family: Bacterial small subunit ribosomal RNA
Source: RNAcentral